RNAcentral lists this transfer RNA (98 nucleotides) under Lachnellula cervina. It matches the Rfam family "tRNA". Rfam says of the family: Transfer RNA (tRNA) molecules are approximately 80 nucleotides in length. The record is from Rfam by way of RNAcentral. Lineage: Eukaryota; Fungi; Ascomycota; Leotiomycetes; Helotiales; Lachnaceae.
GGACAGAUGGCCGAGUUGGUUAUGGCGCCAGGUUAAGGCUACUUAACAUUGUUUCCUGGUCACUUUAUGUGGCAAGGGUUCGAAUCCCUUUCUGUUCA